CCUACGGGUGGCAGCAGUGAGGAAUAUUGGUCAAUGGACGCAAGUCUGAACCAGCCAUGCCGCGUGCAGGAAGACGGCCCUAUGAGUUGUAAACUGCUUUUGUACGAGGGUAAACGCAGAUACGCGUAUCUGUCUGAACGUAUCGUACGAAUAAGGAUAGGCUAACUCAGUGCCAGCCGCCGCGGUAAUACGGAGGAUUCAAGCGUUAUCCGGAUUUAUUGGGUUUAAAGGGUGCGUAGGCGGUCGGAUAAGUUAGAGGUGAAAUCCCGGGGCUCAACUUCGGAAUUGCCUCGGAUACUGUUCGGCUAGAGAGUAGUUGCGGUAGGCGGAAUGUAUGGUGUAGCGGUGAAAUGCGUAGAGAUCAUACAGAACACCGAUUGCGAAGGCAGCUUACCAAGCUACUUCUGACGUUGAGGCACGAAAGCGUGGGGAGCAAACAGGAUUAGAUACCCGUGUAGUC
Molecule: ribosomal RNA, 460 nt
Filed under: uncultured bacterium
Lineage: Bacteria
Description: partial 16S ribosomal RNA
Rfam family: Bacterial small subunit ribosomal RNA
Source: RNAcentral